AGUGGAUGGUCCUCGAAUACAAGUGAGAUGAAUGCAGUGCAGUUUAUUCUUCGUUUGCAAUUUACUAAAACGUUCAUAUCUGAUUUCUCAGAGGCAAAGAAGAGGAUAUAGAGUCCAUUAAAUCGGAAUGAAGUAACUUGAAAUCAUCACCACUGAGGUCUGAGGACAUCAGUGUUCGCUUAGUUUGGACUGUCCUGCUUCAACACUGAUUGGGUCAAUCCCUUUUGAAUGUAUUGGCUGUGAAAACUAGGGGGUGGAGACUACGAGAGCGGCGUUUCGAACGGGAUUUACGCCGAGAUUUACGUGACGUAUUGUGGCUAGAAAGGCUUGCCAUAAACACAUGGCGUGUGCUGCCAAAGUGAGUUCACGCAGUUAUGAACGUAACGUUCCUUCGUGGAACAGUAGAUUUGACCUUUAACCUUUAUGGAUUUAUCGCGAGAAAAGACACGAGAUCCCUCACACGGACUGCAGGUGGGCACAUGUCUUCCACGAGGCUCCGCUACAAUAAAGCGUUAAGUUAGAGCGAAGCUUGUCAGGACAAGCGGCCAGCGAGUUAUCACGGCACAAGUUACAAGAACGUCCACGCAAUAAAUAUGAAUAAAUACAGAGUGUCAUCGAACCCUGACGGAGCAGAAGGAAACCAUCAGCCUCAUCUCUAAAGAAAAACAGGACCUGCAAAGUAAUUUAUCAGAUAUCCAGCAGGAGAAGCUUAGAAGCAAAAAUUUACUGAAGAGCAUAGAAAUAUUUAAAAAAGAUUCCAACAGGCCACGUUCAGACAGUGUUGUGGAAGGUCUUCAGAAAGGUUGUCUUCCUGGUUGGGUGUUCUUCAACAGUAAGUGCUACUACGUCUCCACUGAUGAGAAGAAUUGGGAAAACAGUCGGGUCGAAUGUGAGGAGAUGGGAGGACAUCUGCUCAACAUAGAUAAUAAAGACAAGCUGACUCUUCAACCUCUCCUUGUCACAAGCCACUGUCCCUCACUGCCUGAAAACUGCAACAAUAGUCCCAGUCCCCAAGUCCUUAGUGACUACAGACCACGUCUGAGAAGUUCUUACAAAACCCCCAAUAAAAUCCAGCCAUCCCUAAAAACCGCCGCAAUUCUUGUUUCGAAGUGGGGACAGGAAAAUUCAUGA
Long non-coding RNA from Denticeps clupeoides (denticle herring), 1131 nucleotides. The record is from Ensembl. Lineage: Eukaryota; Metazoa; Chordata; Actinopteri; Clupeiformes; Denticipitidae.